UUGUUGUGAUUCCCACAAGGUCUUUUAUAAGGAAUUUGGAUCUCAACCCCACUAAGAAAAUUAGUAUUUUUUCGUUCAUCAUACUUGAGGGUUAUGAUAUUCGAUAAAAAUAGUGGGAGUAACAAUUAGAUAAAAGUCCUUGUCUGAUUGAAUACAUGUCAUCAUGAUUGGUCUGCUUAUAUUAGUGUUCUUUGUAAUUAUAGAUUAAUUCUGCAAAAAUGGCAUCUUCACUCUCACUUAGAGGUAUCUUAGAUACAAACAAAUUGACUGGUCCCAACUAUGUGGAUUGGUUGAGGAAUUUAAAGAUUGUUCUCACACAAGAAAAACUUUCCUACAUUC
This 339-nucleotide long non-coding RNA is filed under the name Phoenix dactylifera (date palm). RNAcentral describes it as "long non-coding RNA (PDAC_LNC015140)". Lineage: Eukaryota; Viridiplantae; Streptophyta; Magnoliopsida; Arecales; Arecaceae. The record is from RNAcentral.